GGGGAAUUUUGGACAAUGGGGGAAACCCUGAUCCAGCAAUGCCGCGUGAGUGAAGAAGGCCUUAGGGUUGUAAAGCUCUUUCGCCCGCGAAGAUAAUGACGGUAGCGGGAGAAGAAGCCCCGGCUAACUCCGUGCCAGCAGCCGCGGUAAUACGGAGGGGGCUAGCGUUGUUCGGAAUUACUGGGCGUAAAGCGUACGUAGGCGGAUGCGCAAGUUGGGGGUGAAAUCCCGGGGCUUAACCUCGGAAUUGCCCUCAAAACUGCACGUCUUGAGACCGAGAGAGGUAAGGGGAAUUCCUAGUGUAGAGGUGAAAUUCGUAGAUAUUAGGAAGAACACCAGUGGCGAAGGCGCCUUACUGGCUCGGUACUGACGCUGAGGUACGAAAGCGUGGGGAGCAAACA
RNAcentral lists this ribosomal RNA (401 nucleotides) under uncultured bacterium. RNAcentral describes it as "bacterial SSU rRNA". It matches the Rfam family "Bacterial small subunit ribosomal RNA", at positions 356 to 774 of the family's 1533-position model. The record is from RNAcentral.